Molecule: transfer-messenger RNA, 361 nt
Filed under: Pseudoduganella flava
Lineage: Bacteria; Pseudomonadati; Pseudomonadota; Betaproteobacteria; Burkholderiales; Oxalobacteraceae
Description: Standard tmRNA
Rfam family: transfer-messenger RNA
About the family: Bacterial tmRNA, also known as 10Sa RNA or SsrA, is named for its dual tRNA and mRNA-like properties. Its role is to liberate the mRNA from a stalled ribosome.
Source: RNAcentral
GGGGACGACCUGGUUUCGACGUGGGUUGCAAAGCAGAACAGGGCAUACCGAGGGCUGGUCACCUCGUAAAUACAUCCAGAAACAAACUAACUGCAAACGAUAACUCGUACGCACUGGCAGCUUAAUCGCUGUUAGCUCCACAACACCUUGUCUCUGGGGUGGGCCGUCAAAAGCUGUGGAGUCAUUUACAGAGGCUCGCGCUCGGAGGGGUCACUUCGAAGAGCGUUAAACUCAAGGUGAAUCGCCUGUACACAGCGUGCACGUCCGCGUUGUACAGGUUAAAUUAAAUGGCAGUGCUAAGUAUGUAGAACUGUCUGUGGAGUGCUUGCGGACGCGGGUUCGAUUCCCGCCGUCUCCACCA